CCUGUCCGAGCGUCAUUUCAACCCUCAGGACCUUUCCUGGUGUUGGGGCGUCACGGCUGCCGUGAGCCUCAAAGUCAGUGGCGGGCUCUGUCACACACCGAGCGUAGUAAAUCUCUCGCUUAGGGGUGUUUCAGGGCGCGGCCUGCUUAUACUUUUAUCAAGUUGACCUCGGAUCAGGUAGGAAUACCCGCUGAACUUAA
Molecule: unclassified non-coding RNA, 200 nt
Filed under: soil metagenome
Description: partial contains internal transcribed spacer 2 and large subunit ribosomal RNA
Source: RNAcentral